This 79-nucleotide non-coding RNA is filed under the name Bacteroidota bacterium. RNAcentral describes it as "Bacteroidetes bacterium MoCo sequence". It matches the Rfam family "Molybdenum/Tungsten riboswitch aptamer (Moco RNA motif)", at positions 1 to 94 of the family's 135-position model. Lineage: Bacteria; Pseudomonadati; Bacteroidota. The record is from RNAcentral.
AUACGUUUAAAACUCCGAGUUUUAUUGGCUAAGUGCCCUGCAUAAGCUGGUAAAACCGACGGGUUGACGCGGAAACGCU